This 504-nucleotide ribosomal RNA is filed under the name uncultured bacterium. RNAcentral describes it as "bacterial SSU rRNA". It matches the Rfam family "Bacterial small subunit ribosomal RNA", at positions 107 to 607 of the family's 1533-position model. The record is from RNAcentral.
UGAGUAAUGCCUAGGAAUCUGCCUGGUAGUGGGGGAUAACGUUCGGAAACGGACGCUAAUACCGCAUACGUCCUACGGGAGAAAGCAGGGGACCUUCGGGCCUUGCGCUAUCAGAUGAGCCUAGGUCGGAUUAGCUAGUUGGUGAGGUAAUGGCUCACCAAGGCGACGAUCCGUAACUGGUCUGAGAGGAUGAUCAGUCACACUGGAACUGAGACACGGUCCAGACUCCUACGGGAGGCAGCAGUGGGGAAUAUUGGACAAUGGGCGAAAGCCUGAUCCAGCCAUGCCGCGUGUGUGAAGAAGGUCUUCGGAUUGUAAAGCACUUUAAGUUGGGAGGAAGGGUUGUAGAUUAAUACUCUGCAAUUUUGACGUUACCGACAGAAUAAGCACCGGCUAACUCUGUGCCAGCAGCCGCGGUAAUACAGAGGGUGCAAGCGUUAAUCGGAAUUACUGGGCGUAAAGCGCGCGUAGGUGGUUUGUUAAGUUGGAUGUGAAAUCCCCGGG